AUUGAACGCUGGCGGUAGGCCUAACACAUGCAAGUCGAACGGCAGCACAGUAAGAGCUUGCUCUUACGGGUGGCGAGUGGCGGACGGGUGAGGAAUACAUCGGAAUCUACUUUUUCGUGGGGGAUAACGUAGGGAAACUUACGCUAAUACCGCAUACGACCUACGGGUGAAAGCAGGGGACUUCGGACCUUGCGCUAUUGAAUGAGCCGAUUUCGGAUUAGCUAGUUGGCGGGGUAAAGGCCCACCAAGGCGACGAUCCGUAGCUGGUCUGAGAGGAUGAUCAGCCACACUGGAACUGAGACACGGUCCAGACUCCUACGGGAGGCAGCAGUGGGGAAUAUUGGACAAUGGGCGCAAGCCUGAUCCAGCCAUACCGCGUGGGUGAAGAAGGCCUUCGGGUUGUAAAGCCCUUUUGUUGGGAAAGAAAAGCAGCAGGUUAAUACCCCGCUGUUCUGACGGUACCAAAAGAAUAAGCACCGGCUAACUUCGUG
Molecule: ribosomal RNA, 491 nt
Filed under: uncultured bacterium
Lineage: Bacteria
Description: partial 16S ribosomal RNA
Rfam family: Bacterial small subunit ribosomal RNA
Source: RNAcentral